This 373-nucleotide ribosomal RNA is filed under the name Cytobacillus firmus. Its description in RNAcentral is "bacterial SSU rRNA". It matches the Rfam family "Bacterial small subunit ribosomal RNA", at positions 1047 to 1414 of the family's 1533-position model. Lineage: Bacteria; Bacillati; Bacillota; Bacilli; Caryophanales; Bacillaceae. The record is from RNAcentral.
GGUAUGUGUCCAGGUGCGUGUCAGUGAGAUGCGGCGUUAAUUCUUCGCAAGGAGCCACAACCUCUUGGAUUUAAUUGCCAUCAUUAAGCUGGGCGCUUUAAUGUGACUGACGGUGACACACCGGAGGAGGGUGGGUAAGACGUCAAAUCAUCAUGCUCUUUAUGACCUGGGAUACACACGUGGUCACAAUGGGUGGUACAAAGGGGCGCAAGAUCGCGAGGUUAAGGGAAUCCCAUAAAACCAUUUUCAGUUUGGAUUGCAGGCUGCAACUUGCCUGCAUGAAGCAGGAAUCGCUUGUAAUCGCGGAUCAGCAUGCCGCGGUGAAUACGUUUCCGGGCCUUGUACACACCGCCCGUCACACCCCGAGAGUUUG